This 299-nucleotide ribosomal RNA is filed under the name uncultured bacterium. Its description in RNAcentral is "partial 16S ribosomal RNA". It matches the Rfam family "Bacterial small subunit ribosomal RNA", at positions 57 to 352 of the family's 1533-position model. The record is from RNAcentral.
ACGCAAGUCGAACGGCACCCCUCUCCGGAGGGAAGCGAGUGGCGAACGGCUGAGUAACACGUGGGGAACCUCGCCCCCCUCCCCCGGGAUAGCCGCCCGAAAGGACGGGUAAUACCGGAUACCCCCGGGCGCCGCAUGGCGCCCGGGCUAAAGCCCCGACGGGAGGGGAUGGCUCCGCGGCCCAUCAGGUAGACGGCGGGGUGACGGCCCACCGUGCCGACAACGGGUAGCCGGGUUGAGAGACCGACCGGCCAGAUUGGGACUGAGACACGGCCCAGACUCCUACGGGAGGCAGCAUG